Molecule: ribosomal RNA, 937 nt
Filed under: uncultured bacterium
Lineage: Bacteria
Description: bacterial SSU rRNA
Rfam family: Bacterial small subunit ribosomal RNA
Source: RNAcentral
UGCAAGUCGAACGGUAACAGGAAAAGCUUGCUUUUCGCUGACGAGUGGCGAACGGGUGCGUAACGCGUAUGCAAUCUACCUCAAACUGGAAGAUAGCCCCGGGAAACCGGGAUUAAUACUCCAUAACAUUUCAGAAAGGCAUCUUUUUGAUCUUAAAGCUCCGGCGGUUUGAGAUGAGCAUGCGUCCUAUUAGUUAGUUGGUGAGGUAAUGGCUCACCAAGACUUCGAUAGGUAGGGGGCCUGAGAGGGUUAUCCCCCACACUGGUACUGAGACACGGACCAGACUCCUACGGGAGGCAGCAGUGAGGAAUAUUGCGCAAUGGACGAAAGUCUGACGCAGCCAUGCCGCGUGCAGGAUGACGGCCCUACGGGUUGUAAACUGCUUUUAUUUGGGAAGAAACCCUUCUACGUGUAGAAGGCUGACGGUACCAAACGAAUAAGGACCGGCUAACUCCGUGCCAGCAGCCGCGGUAAUACGGAGGGUCCAAGCGUUAUCCGGAUUUAUUGGGUUUAAAGGGUGCGCAGGCGGAUUAAUAAGUCAGUGGUGAAAGCCUACAGCUUAACUGUAGAACUGCCAUUGAUACUGUUAAUCUUGAGUGUAGUUGAAGUUGGCGGAAUGUGACAUGUAGCGGUGAAAUGCUUAGAUAUGUCACAGAACACCGAUUGCGAAGGCAGCUGACUAAGCUACUACUGACGCUGAGGCACGAAAGCGUGGGGAGCGAACAGGAUUAGAUACCCUGGUAGUCCACGCCGUAAACGAUGAUAACUCGUUGUUGGCGAUACACUGUCAGCGACCAAGCGAAAGCGUUAAGUUAUCCACCUGGGGAGUACGUUCGCAAGAAUGAAACUCAAAGGAAUUGACGGGGGCCCGCACAAGCGGUGGAGCAUGUGGUUUAAUUCGAUGAUACGCGAGGAACCUUACCAAGGCUUAAAUGUA